CUACGGGUGGCUGCAGUUAAGAAUCUUCUGCAAUGCGCGCAAGCGUGACAGAGCGAGCCAGAGUGCUUAUCACAUGAUAAGCUUUUGUGAAAUGUAAAAAGUUUCACGAAUAAGGACUGGGUAAGACUAGUGCCAGCCGCCGCGGUAAUACUAGCGGUCCAAGUCGCAGCCAUGUUUAUUGGGUCUAAAACAUCCGUAGCUUGUUUAGUAAGUCUCUUGUGAAAUUUGAUGUCUUAAGCAUUGAGCGUGCAGGAGAUACUGCUGAGCUAGAGAUUGGAAGACGUGGAAAGUACGUUUAUAGUAGCGGUAAAAUGUGUUGAUCAUAAACGGACUAACAAUAGCGAAGGCAUUCCACGAGGACAGUUCUGACAGUAAGGGAUGAAGGCUAGGGGCGCAAAACGGAUUAGAUACCCCGGUAGUC
Molecule: ribosomal RNA, 421 nt
Filed under: uncultured archaeon
Lineage: Archaea
Description: partial 16S ribosomal RNA
Rfam family: Archaeal small subunit ribosomal RNA
Source: RNAcentral